CCGCGGUCAUACAAGAGACCCAAAUUAACUGCAUGCGGCGUAAAGAGUGGUAUCAUGUUAUCAUAACAACUAAGACCGAAGUGCAACCAAGCUGUCAUAAGCUCAAGAUGUACCUAAGACCUUCAUAGACCUUAGUGACCCUGAUUAAUUUAAUCCCACGAAAGCUAAGACACAAACUGGGAUUAGAUACCCCACUAUGCUUAGCCCUAAAUCUCGAUGCUUUCUAUAUACUAAAGCAUCCGCCCGAGAACUACGAGCACAAACGCUUAAAACUCUAAGGACUUGGCGGUGCCCUAAACCCACCUAGAGGAGCCUGUUCUGUAAUCGAUAACCCACGUUAACACCCGACCGUCCCUUGCCAUAAAACAGCCUACAUACCGCCGUCGCCAGCUCACCUCCUCUGAGAGUUCAACAGCGAACACAAUAGCCUAAACCCGCUAAUAAGACAGGUCGAGGUAUAGCCCACGGGACGGAAGAAAUGGGCUACAUUUUCUAACAAUAGACAAAUUCACGGAAGGGGGUAUGAAACCGCCCCCCGAAGGCGGAUUUAGCAGUAAAGCGGGACAAUAUAUGCCCUCUUUAAACUGGCCCUGGGGCACGUACAUACCGCCCGUCACCCUCCUCACAAGCUACAUUAUUCAUAAUAUUUUAAUACUAAUCCUAAGCUGAAGAUGA
Molecule: ribosomal RNA, 675 nt
Filed under: Gallinago delicata
Lineage: Eukaryota; Metazoa; Chordata; Aves; Charadriiformes; Scolopacidae
Also listed under: 2 other names
Description: partial 12S ribosomal RNA
Rfam family: Bacterial small subunit ribosomal RNA
Source: RNAcentral